Molecule: ribosomal RNA, 497 nt
Filed under: uncultured bacterium
Lineage: Bacteria
Description: partial 16S ribosomal RNA
Rfam family: Bacterial small subunit ribosomal RNA
Source: RNAcentral
GAUGAACGCUGGCGGCGUGCCUAAUACAUGCGAGUCGAGCGAACAGACGAGGAGCUUGCUCCUCUGACGUUAGCGGCGGACGGGUGAGUAACACGUGGAUAACCUACCUAUAAGACUGGGAUAACUUCGGGAAACCGGAGCUAAUACCGGAUAAUAUAUUGAACCGCAUGGUUCAAUAGUGAAAGACGGUUUUGCUGUCACUUAUAGAUGGAUCCGCGCCGCAUUAGCUAGUUAGUAAGGUAACGGCUUACCAAGGCAACGAUGCGUAGCCGACCUGAGAGGGUGAUCGGCCACACUGGAACUGAGACACGGUCCAGACUCCUACGGGAGGCAGCAGUAGGGAAUCUUCCGCAAUGGGCGAAAGCCUGACGGAGCAACGCCGCGUGAGUGAUGAAGGUCUUCGGAUCGUAAAACUCUGUUAUUAGGGAAGAACAAAUGUGUAAGUAACUAUGCACGUCUUGACGGUACCUAAUCAGAAAGCCACGGCUAACUACGUG